RNAcentral lists this ribosomal RNA (252 nucleotides) under uncultured bacterium. RNAcentral's name for it is "partial 16S ribosomal RNA". It matches the Rfam family "Bacterial small subunit ribosomal RNA", at positions 524 to 776 of the family's 1533-position model. The record is from RNAcentral.
GACGAGGGGUCCAAGCGUUGUUCGGAAUCAUUGGGCGUAAAGCGGGUGUAGGUGGCUUUGUAAGUCAGGAGUGAAAUCCCCGAGCUUAACUUGGGAAGUGCUUUGAAACUGCAGGGCUUGAGUGUGGGAGAGGAUCGUGGAAUUCCAGGUGUAGUGGUGAAAUACGUAGAUAUCUGGAGGAACACCGGUGGCGAAGGCGGCGAUCUGGCCCAACACUGACACUGAGACCCGAAAGCGUGGGGAGCGAACAGG